AUGGGGGGACCAUCCUCCAAGGCUAAAUACUCCUGACUGACCGAUAGUGAACCAGUACCGUGAGGGAAAGGCGAAAAGAACCCCGGCGAGGGGAGUGAAAAAGAACCUGAAACCGUGUACGUACAAGCAGUGGGAGCACCUUCGGGUGUGACUGCGUACCUUUUGUAUAAUGGGUCAGCGACUUAUAUUCUGUAGCAAGGUUAACCGUAUAGGGGAGCCGCAGGGAAACCGAGUCUUAACUGGGCGUUAAGUUGCAGGGUAUAGACCCGAAACCCGGUGAUCUAGCCAUGGGCAGGUUGAAGGUUGGGUAACACUAACUGGAGGACCGAACCGACUAAUGUUGAAAAAUUAGCGGAUGACUUGUGGCUGGGGGUGAAAGGCCAAUCAAACCGGGAGAUAGCUGGUUCUCCCCGAAAGCU
Molecule: ribosomal RNA, 419 nt
Filed under: Klebsiella pneumoniae
Lineage: Bacteria; Pseudomonadati; Pseudomonadota; Gammaproteobacteria; Enterobacterales; Enterobacteriaceae
Also listed under: 1 other name
Description: partial 23S ribosomal RNA
Rfam family: Bacterial large subunit ribosomal RNA
Source: RNAcentral